AUUAGUUUUGUUCUUUAAACCUAAAGAAUUUGGCGGUGUUUUAUUCUAUUCAGAGGAAUUUGUCCCUUUAUCGAUAAUCCUCGUUUUAUCUUGCUUUAUUUUAUUAAGUAUGUAUAUCGCCGUUAUAAGUUUAUUUUUUUAGAUUAUUUACUUAAUAUUUUAUUUAUUAUUAUUUCAGGUCAAGGUGCAGUUUAUAAUAAAGUGGUGAUGAAUUACAUUAUAAUUGAAUAUUACGGAUGUUUUAUUUUAAAAUUUUACUGAAGGUGGAUUUGAUAGUAAUUUUGUUAAUAUUGUCAUUUUGAUUUAAGUUCUAAAAUGAGUACACAUCGCCCGUCGCUCU
This 340-nucleotide ribosomal RNA is filed under the name Lonchodes philippinicus. Its description in RNAcentral is "partial 12S ribosomal RNA". Lineage: Eukaryota; Metazoa; Arthropoda; Insecta; Phasmatodea; Lonchodidae. The record is from RNAcentral.